Non-coding RNA from Peromyscus maniculatus bairdii (prairie deer mouse), 416 nucleotides. The record is from RefSeq and is a predicted model, not a curated record. NCBI's taxonomy places the organism in Eukaryota, Metazoa, Chordata, Mammalia, Rodentia, Cricetidae.
UAUGGUGUCCUGCUUUGCUGCUGCUCAGGAUUUCCUCAUCCAAAUGGGGAUUGUGAUCUUUCCCUAAAACUUUUGGAAGAAUAGGGUGAGGGAAAUCUGUGAGCAAGCUUUAUCAACUAUGACACCAUCUUCUGAAGAUCAGGGUCACACUCACCUCUGAAGUCCCUGACUCUGUGGAGUUUAAAGUGUCUCCUUUAUGGAAAACAAGCAAGAGGGAUUUGGAUAGAGGUGUACGGAUAGAUACCUGGGAAUGUGCUACAUCCUUAGAUGACCCCAUUGUCCCAGGACACCCCCGCACCCCCCCCCAGCCAAGGGCAGUAUGUGCUCCAGUGGCUGAGGGUGACCGCCCACCUCUGUUCCUCUAGAAGGUUCUGUAGUAUCCCAGGAAAUACAAACAACCCUGAGCAAACACCCCA